GUACCGGCUUUGGCAACACAUAUACUAAAAUUGAAAUGAUGCAGAGAAGAUUAGCAUGUAUCCUGCACAGGGAAAUAAGAGUUGGAGCCUGGCUUC
This 96-nucleotide small nuclear RNA is filed under the name Saimiri boliviensis boliviensis (Bolivian squirrel monkey). The record is from RNAcentral. Lineage: Eukaryota; Metazoa; Chordata; Mammalia; Primates; Cebidae.